Molecule: ribosomal RNA, 253 nt
Filed under: uncultured bacterium
Lineage: Bacteria
Description: partial 16S ribosomal RNA
Rfam family: Bacterial small subunit ribosomal RNA
Source: RNAcentral
UACAGAGGGUGCAAGCGUUAAUCGGAUUUACUGGGCGUAAAGGGCGCGUAGGUUGUUAUUUAAGUGAGAUGUGAAAUCCCCGGGCUUAACCUGGGAACUGCAUCUUAUACUGGGUAACUGGAGUGCAGAAGGGGCAAUCGGAAUUCUCGGUGUAGCGGUGAAAUGCGUAGAUAUCGAGAGGAACACCAGAGGUGAAGACGGGUUGCUGGGCUGACACUGACGCUGAGGCGCGAAAGCCAGGGGAGCAAACGGG